GACGGACGCUGGCGGCGUGCUUAACACAUGCAAGUCGAACGGAAAGGCCCUGCUUUUGUGGGGUGCUCGAGUGGCGAACGGGUGAGUAACACGUGAGUAACCUGCCCUUGACUUUGGGAUAACUUCAGGAAACUGGGGCUAAUACCGGAUAGGAGCUCCUGCUGCAUGGUGGGGGUUGGAAAGUUUCGGCGGGUGGGGAUGGACUCGCGGCUUAUCAGCUUGUUGGUGGGGUAGUGGCUUACCAAGGCUUUGACGGGUAGCCGGCCUGGGAGGGUGACCGGCCACAUUGGGACUGAGAUACGGCCCAGACUCCUACGGGAGGCAGCAGUGGGGAAUAUUGCACAAUGGGCGGAAGCCUGAUGCAGCAACGCCGCGUGCGGGAUGACGGCCUUCGGGUUGUAAACCGCUUUCGCCUGUGACGAAGCGUGAGUGACGGUAAUGGGUAAAGAAGCACCGGCUAACUACGUG
RNAcentral lists this ribosomal RNA (468 nucleotides) under uncultured bacterium. RNAcentral's name for it is "partial 16S ribosomal RNA". It matches the Rfam family "Bacterial small subunit ribosomal RNA", at positions 28 to 507 of the family's 1533-position model. The record is from RNAcentral.